Molecule: ribosomal RNA, 777 nt
Filed under: uncultured Neocallimastigales
Lineage: Eukaryota; Fungi; Neocallimastigomycota; Neocallimastigomycetes; Neocallimastigales
Description: partial large subunit ribosomal RNA
Rfam family: Eukaryotic large subunit ribosomal RNA
Source: RNAcentral
UACGACUACAUAUCAGGCAUAUCAAUAAGCGGAGGAAAAGAAACUAACUAGGAUUCCCUCAGUAACGGCGAGUGAAGCGGGAAGAGCUCAAAUUUGAAAUCUUCAAGGUUUUACCUUGACGAAUUGUAGUUUAAAGAAGUGUUUUCUGUUGGUGUUUUGGUAAAAGUUCUUUGGAAUAGGACAUCAUAGAGGGUGAGAAUCCCGUAUUUGACCAUUACUUCCAGCGUUGUGAUACACUUUCAAAGAGUCGGAUUGUUUGGGAAUGCAGUCCAAAAUGGGUGGUAAAUUUCAUCUAAAGCUAAAUAUUGGCGAGAGACCGAUAGCGAACAAGUACCGUGAGGGAAAGAUGAAAAGAACUUUGAAAAGAGAGUUAAACAGUACGUGAAAUUGUCAAAAGGGAAGCGUUUGACACCAGUGUUGUUUUUCUCGAAAAUCAAUUACGAAUGGGAUUUUGUGUUUAGUAGUUAUGACUUUCAUCAGCUUGCUGCAUUCUUUACGAAACUUUCUUAAUGCACUUUUCGGUUAACAAGUCAACAUCAAUUUCUUUUGUUGUAAAAGGGUAUGAGGAGGGUGGCUUUCUUUUCGGAGAAAGUGUUUAUAGCCUUGUGCCUCUGCAAUCGGAGAGAUUGAGGUCUGCAGCGUAGAUCCUUCGGGGUUAGAUACGUUUGUGCUAAGUUAUAGCUUUUCAUAGACAACUUGUUGACUAUGUUUAGUCUUGUAGCUUACUCGCUGACGCUAUUUUACCUACGCUAGGAUGUUGAUCUCUCACAGUCGAGC